Molecule: ribosomal RNA, 233 nt
Filed under: uncultured bacterium
Lineage: Bacteria
Description: partial 16S ribosomal RNA
Rfam family: Bacterial small subunit ribosomal RNA
Source: RNAcentral
UCCACACCGUAAACGAUGAUUACUAGUUGUGUGCGAUAUAUUGUACGUGACUGCGCGAAAGCAUUAAGUAAUCCACCUGGGGAGUACGUUCGCAAGAAUGAAACCCAAAGGAAUUGACGGGGGCCCGCACAAGCGGAGGAACAUGUGGUUUAAUUCGAUGAUACGCGAGGAACCUUACCCAGGCUUAAAUGAAGAUUGACAGGUUUGGAAACAGACUUUUCUUCGGACAAUUU